RNAcentral lists this long non-coding RNA (902 nucleotides) under Homo sapiens (human). RNAcentral describes it as "Alu-mediated CDKN1A/p21 transcriptional regulator". The record is from RNAcentral. Lineage: Eukaryota; Metazoa; Chordata; Mammalia; Primates; Hominidae.
AGCUCGGCGGGGUGCGGCUAGUGGCGGAGCGCGCUGCGAGGGGAGGGCUUUCCACUGUCGCUGGCGUGAACUCGCGUGCCCGGUGGGUAUCAGGGAAGAACCCCCGCCCCGGACCCCCAGAUCUGCCAUGGCCGAGGUAGCGAUCGUCUCUGCGGCCACGAAGACUGUUUUAACUUGUACCACUUUCCCUUCCAUUUUUCCUGGGGUGCCUCUCACCCUGCAUCUGCGCGUUCAGCAAGCUGGAUUUCGGGAAUGCUCAGUUCAGAAGAGAAAAAAUUGCCGGGAAUCAAGUCCUUCUUUUUGUUAGUCGGUAGUCGAUUGAUGGGAAGUGUUCAAAAUCAUUCGAUGUGGUGACAAGGCUUCACCAGGUACUGCCUUCUAACGAGCUGGCCAUUUCCACAUGUCAGAUAGGACCAACUUGCCUUUUAACUACCCGUGUGAUACUUAAACACUGUUGCCGGUAUCACAGCUUUUCUUCAAAACAGGUAAUAUUAGGGACACUUGAAAUUUGGGAAUUAGAUUUACCUUUGCUGUUACUAAAUAAUUGUUAGAAUUUUAAAUGUCAUAUUCAUUUUACUCAACUAAUCUCUUUAGCUUUCCUAUUUAUAUUCCUACUUAUGAUUACGUGUAAUUCUCAUUGGAAGGAUUAAAAUAUUUUGAAAGUAAGACAGUAAAAUUGUGAAAUACUUUGGUAUUGGUUACAAAACAGUACUUAGGUACCUUCUUCCUGAUUUUUCUGUAUUUUUAAAAAAUAAGGCCAGGCACAGUGGCAAAUGCUUAUAUUCCCAACUGCCCAGUAAGCUGAAGCAAGAGAAUUGCUUGAGCCCAACCUGGGCAACAUAGUGAAACCCCAGUCACCAAUUAAAAACAAACAAACAAAAAGAGUAUAUUUUUUGAAGAUA